AGCAGCCGCGGUAAUUCCAGCUCCAAUAGCGUAUAUUAAAGUUGCUGCAGUUAAAAAGCUCGUAGUUGAAUUUCGGGACCAUCAUGUCGGUCGUGCCUCGGUACGUACUGGCAUUGUUGGUUUCUCCCUUCUGACGAACCAUGAUGUCAUUUAUUUGGUGUCGUGGGAAAUCAGGACUGUUACUUUGAAAAAUUAGAGUGUUUAAAGCAGGCUCACGCUUGAAUGCAUUAGCAUGGAAUAAUGAAAUAGGACGUUUGAUUCUAUUUUGUUGGUUUCUAGGAUCGACGUAAUGAUUAAUAGGGAUAGUUGGGGGCAUUAGUAUUCAAUUGUCAGAGGUGAAAUUCUUGGAUUUAUUGAAGACUAACUACUGCGAAAGCAUUUGCCAAGGAUGUUUUUCAUUAAUCAAGAACGAAAGUUAGGGGAUCGAAGACGAUCAGAUACCGUCGUAGUCUUAACCAAUAAACUAUGCCGACUAGGGAUCGGAUGAUGUUAAUUUUUAAU
This 501-nucleotide ribosomal RNA is filed under the name uncultured Glomus. RNAcentral's name for it is "SSU rRNA". It matches the Rfam family "Eukaryotic small subunit ribosomal RNA", at positions 569 to 1074 of the family's 1831-position model. Lineage: Eukaryota; Fungi; Glomeromycota; Glomeromycetes; Glomerales; Glomeraceae. The record is from RNAcentral.